AGCGAACGCUGGCGGCAGGCCUAACACAUGCAAGUCGAACGAACCUUUCGGGGUUAGUGGCGGACGGGUGAGUAACACGUGGGAACGUGCCUUUAGGUUCGGAAUAACUCAGGGAAACUUGUGCUAAUACCGAAUGUGCCCUUCGGGGGAAAGAUUUAUCGCCUUUAGAGCGGCCCGCGUCUGAUUAGCUAGUUGGUUGAGGUAAUGGCUCACCAAGGCGACGAUCAGUAGCUGGUCUGAGAGGAUGAUCAGCCACAUUGGGACUGAGACACGGCCCAAACUCCUACGGGAAGCAGCAGUGGGGAAUCUUGCGACAUGGGCGGAAGGCUGACGCAGCCAUGCCGCGUGAAUGAUGAAGGUCUUAGGAUUGUAAAAUUCUUUCACCGGGGACGAUAAUGACGGUACCCGGAGAAGAAGCCCCGGCUAACUUCGUG
RNAcentral lists this ribosomal RNA (434 nucleotides) under uncultured bacterium. RNAcentral's name for it is "partial 16S ribosomal RNA". It matches the Rfam family "Bacterial small subunit ribosomal RNA", at positions 29 to 507 of the family's 1533-position model. The record is from RNAcentral.